This 65-nucleotide transfer RNA is filed under the name Asterionellopsis glacialis. The record is from RNAcentral. Lineage: Eukaryota; Bacillariophyta; Plagiogrammaphyceae; Rhaphoneidales; Asterionellopsidaceae.
AAUCUAUUGAGGAAAAAAGAAAAGCUCGCUCGCUAACGUUUGCAUUAUUUGUUUGCAUGGCAUUG